Molecule: ribosomal RNA, 994 nt
Filed under: human gut metagenome
Description: bacterial LSU rRNA
Rfam family: Bacterial large subunit ribosomal RNA
Source: RNAcentral
CCGUAACUAUAACGGUCCUAAGGUAGCGAAAUUCCUUGUCGGGUAAGUUCCGACCCGCACGAAAGGCGUAAUGAUUUGGGCACUGUCUCAACAAUGCACCCGGUGAAAUUGAAAUACCAGUGAAGAUGCUGGUUACCUGCGCCAGGACGGAAAGACCCCAUGGAGCUUUACUCCAGCUUGAUACUGGGAUUCGAUAUUGCAUGUACAGGAUAGGUGGGAGACUGAGAACUGAUGACGCCAGUUGUCAGGGAGUCACUGUUGGGAUACCACCCUUGUAGUAUUGGAUUUCUAACCAGCAGCCGUGAACCGGCUGGGGGACAAUGUCAGGUGGGGAGUUUGACUGGGGCGGUCGCCUCCGAAAGGGUAUCGGAGGCGCUCAAAGGUUCCCUCAGAAUGGUUGGAAACCAUUCGAAGAGUGCAAAGGCAGAAGGGAGCUUGACUGCGACACCGACGGGUGGAGCAGGUACGAAAGUAGGACUUAGUGAUCCGGUGGUAUGAAAGUGGGAUUGCCAUCGCUCAACGGAUAAAAGCUACCCUGGGGAUAACAGGCUUAUCACUCCCAAGAGUUCACAUCGACGGAGUGGUUUGGCACCUCGAUGUCGGCUCAUCGCAUCCUGGGGCUGAAGUAGGUCCCAAGGGUUGGGCUGUUCGCCCAUUAAAGCGGUACGCGAGCUGGGUUCAGAACGUCGUGAGACAGUUCGGUCCCUAUCCGGCGCGGGCGUAGGAUAUUUGAGAGGAGCUGUCCUUAGUACGAGAGGACCGGGAUGGACGGACCACUGGUGUAUCUGUUGCACCACCAGGUGCACGGCAGAGUAGCCAAGUCUGGAAGGGAUAAACGCUGAAGGCAUCUAAGCGUGAAGCCCCCCUCAAGAUGAGAUAUCCCAUAACGUCAAGUUAGUAAGACCCCUUGAAGACGACGAGGUAGAUAGGGCAGAGGUGGAAGUGUGGCAACACAUGGAGCUGACUGUUACUAAUCGGGUGAGGGCUUGACCAA